GCUUAGAGUUUGAUCCUGGCUCAGGACGAACGCUGGCGGCGUGCCUAACACAUGCAAGUCAAGGGAUCUUCGGAUCACUGGCGCACGGGUGAGUAACGCGUAGAUAAUCUGCCCCUAUCUCCGGAAUAACUUCGAGAAAUUGAAGCUAAAAACGGAUGAGGCCGCAAGGUCAAAGGCAACGGAUAGGGAUGAGUCUGCGUCUGAUUAGCUAGUUGGCGGGGUAAUUGCCCACCAAGGCGACGAUCAGUAGCUGGUCUGAGAGGACGAUCAGCCACACUGGAACUGAGACACGGUCCAGACUCCUACGGGAGGCAGCAGUGAGGAAUUUUGCACAAUGGGGGAAACCCUGAUGCAGCGACGCCGCGUGUACGAUGAAGGGGCUUUGCCCUGUAAAGUACUGUCAGAUAGGAAGAAAAGCCCGCUCGGUGGGCUGGGACUGUACUAUCAGAGGAAGGACCGGCUAACUACGUGCCAGCAGCCGCGGUAAUACGUAGGGUCCAAGCGUUGUCCGGAAUUACUGGGUAUAAAGGGUGCGCAGGCGGACUUGUGCGUCGGGGGUUAAAGACCAGAGCUUAACUUUGGGAGUGCCCUCGAUACGGCAAGUCUUGAGUGUGAGAGAGGAUGGUAGAAUUCCUGGUGUAGCGGUGAAAUGCGUAGAUAUCAGGAGGAAUACCGGUGGCGAAGGCGGCCAUCUGGCUCAUUACUGACGCUCAGGCACGAAAGCGUGGGGAGUAAACAGGAUUAGAUACCCUGGUAAUCCACGCCCUAAACGAUGCAUGCUUGGUGUUAGCCCUAUUUUGGUCUAGUGCCGGAGGAAACCCGUUAAGCAUGCCACCUGGGGAGUACGAUCGCAAGGUUGAAACUCAAAGGAAUUGACGGGGGCCCGCACAAGCGGUGGAUUAUGUGGUUUAAUUCG
This 916-nucleotide ribosomal RNA is filed under the name uncultured bacterium. RNAcentral's name for it is "bacterial SSU rRNA". It matches the Rfam family "Bacterial small subunit ribosomal RNA", at positions 1 to 953 of the family's 1533-position model. The record is from RNAcentral.